RNAcentral lists this ribosomal RNA (499 nucleotides) under uncultured bacterium. Its description in RNAcentral is "bacterial SSU rRNA". It matches the Rfam family "Bacterial small subunit ribosomal RNA", at positions 28 to 507 of the family's 1533-position model. The record is from RNAcentral.
GAUGAACGCUAGCGGCAGGCCUAAUACAUGCAAGUCGUACGGCAACACAGUUGCGAGCAAUCGCAACCGGUGGCGAGUGGCGCACGGGUGAGUAACGCGUAUGUAACCUACCCUUCUCCGGGACAUAACUCCGCGAAAGCGGUGCUAAUAUCCCAUACCAACUCAUCAAGACAUCUUCUUGAGUUGAAAGCAGCAAUGCGGUGAAGGAUGGGCAUGCGUCCCAUUAGCUGGUUGGUGAGGUAAUGGCCCACCAAGGCUACGAUGGGUAGGGGUUCUGAGAGGAAAGCCCCCCACACUGGUACUGAGACACGGACCAGACUCCUACGGGAGGCAGCAGUAAGGAAUAUUGGGCAAUGGGCGGAAGCCUGAACCAGCCAUGCCGCGUGCAGGAUGACCGGCCCGUACGGGUUAGUAAACUGUCCGUUUUCCCCGGGGCGAACUAACCCCCUCGCGAGGGGGGAUGCCGGUACCGGGGGAAUAAGGAUCGGCUAACUCCGUG